RNAcentral lists this ribosomal RNA (347 nucleotides) under uncultured bacterium. RNAcentral describes it as "partial 16S ribosomal RNA". It matches the Rfam family "Bacterial small subunit ribosomal RNA", at positions 338 to 682 of the family's 1533-position model. The record is from RNAcentral.
CCUACGGGAGGCAGCAGUGAGGAAUAUUGGUCAAUGGGCUUACGCCUGAACCAGCCAAGUCGCGUGAGGGAAGACUGCCCUAUGGGUUGUAAACCUCUUUUGUCAGGGAGCAAGUGGUGCUACGUGUAGCGUUAUCGAGAGUACCUGAAGAAAAAGCAGCGGCUAACUCAGUGCCAGCAGCCGCGGUAAUACGGAGGAUGCGAGCGUUAUCCGGUGUUAUUGGGUUUAAGGGGUGCGUAGGGGGAAUGCCAAGUCAGCGGUAAAAUCGCGGGGCUCACCCUCGCUCCGCCGUUGAAACUGGCGUUCUUGAGUGGGCGAGACGUAUGCGGAAUGCUUUGUGUAGCGGU